RNAcentral lists this ribosomal RNA (433 nucleotides) under uncultured bacterium. RNAcentral describes it as "partial 16S ribosomal RNA". It matches the Rfam family "Bacterial small subunit ribosomal RNA", at positions 29 to 507 of the family's 1533-position model. The record is from RNAcentral.
AACGAACGCUGGCGGCAUGCCUAACACAUGCAAGUCGAACGAGACCUUCGGGUUUAGUGGCGCACGGGUGCGUAACGCGUGGGAACCUGCCCUUAGGUUCGGAAUAACUCCCCGAAAGGGGUGCUAAUACCGGAUAAUGUCUUCGGACCAAAGAUUUAUCGCCUUUGGAUGGGCCCGCGUUGGAUUAGCUAGUUGGUAGGGUAAAAGCCUACCAAGGCGACGAGCCAUAGCUGGUCUGAGAGGAAGGUCAGCCACACUGGGACUGAGACACGGCCCAGACUCCUACGGGAGGCAGCAGUGGGGAAUAUUGGAAAAUGGGCGGAGGGCUGAUCCAGCAAUGGCGGGUGAGUGAUGAAGGCCGUAGGGUUGUAAAGCUCUUUUACCCGGGAUGAUAAUGACAGUACCGGGAGAAUAAGCUCCGGCUAACUCCGUG